GCUGUGUGCGAGCGGUCAUUUGUAGACGAAUCCUUCAGCGAUGGGUGAGGGUGAAAAAUGUCAUUUGGGAAGUGGAUGCCUGCUUAACGGAGGCUGUCUAAGACGUUCAUUUCAGUGAAGUUCCUCAGAAAGUGCCAGCCACUUGCAAAUGGCCUUCCCUGAUGGAAGAACCCGUACUCAGUUGUCUCCUUUAUACACGGGCUGGCGAUAUUAAUGGGCUGCUCCACCUCCCCCUUCAGUAAAAUAUAUAGCAAAUAGAGCGUUUAAUCAGUGUCACUGGAUGUACAGUUCUGUGACUCGAGCAUUUCUCCAAGUGCUUCUUCAAGGACAUUGAAGUUAUUACUCAUUGCCGAAGCGAAUUGAUUCUACCUUUUCGGAGCCUGCAGGACACAAAGGUUGGACAGGAAUCACGUUCAUUCUGAACCCUCUUUCUUUUCCUAUUAUGAGGUCUGUGGCUGUUUCAACCAGGCACAUCACAAAUGAGUCAUCAGACCUCCACAUCAUUCCAAAAGGGAACAACUGAAGGCUCUUAUGCUGUCAUAAGACCUUACCUCAUAUGACACCAAAAUGUGUGCCCAUGGUUUGUUUCUGGUGACUAAAGCUGAGGAGAAGCAGACUGACAUCCUGGCGGGGCUGCUCCAUCGCAAUUGACUCAUGUAUAAAUUAUUUGCUUGUCUUCUGCUUCAGUGAUGAUGUAACUUUCUCUCACGUUAGUUGCAAUUUUUCAGCCUACUGUGAGAAAUCACGCCCGGUAGCCUGUUAAUCCCGUCAAAGGUCAGUAAUACUGAUUAAAGCUAUUUUUUUUUUUAACACAGAGACCAUCACUUGCUGGGAAGGCAAAAACGAUGGCUUAUAGCAUCCUUCUUCAGCUUCUGCUGCUUAAUUAGAUAUAUCAGAGAACACUAGUGCCUUUAAUCCUCUCCCAGACCUUUCCAUUGAAAUCACUCUUUAAACAUCUAAGCACAGAUCAUAUAAAUAGAGUCAUUUUGUUUGUUUUGUCCCUAAGUUCCUUAUCCUCAGAUGCAUCUUCUGAGAAUUCCUUCCCUCCUCUCAUCUUCGGCUGCUCACUCUUCAUCCCCCACACAUGGUUGGCUUCUUCUGAUUUGGAGUAUAUCUGGAGAUACCUUGUUAAUGUGAAGUGCUUUUAAUGUAAGCGCAAUCUGGAAUUUAAAAGUAUCUCUUGGUACCACUAAGAUGACCUGAAACUGAAUUUUAAAGCAAAUUAAAUUAAAGCAUUUAUAUUCAAAGGCUGUACAAAGACUUUCCUGAGAUUUGAAGAUGAUUAAAUUGGUAGCAGGAUUAAAGAAAUUAAUCCAGAAAAUUGUAGACCAUUCUCUAAACCUCUGCUUUGUGUAAUGACUAAUAGCUGAAAACACACACACACACACACACACACACACACACACACACAAGGGUUCAGUGAAGGGUGUAUAAUGCAAGCACACCUUAGGCGGUUGCUUUGCUAAAUUCUACAUCACCUCAAAUUUUGUCAAAUUGUUUCCUAUUUCAUGGAUCAAGAAACUGAGGUGAAGAUGACCUGCCUUUGAGCCAGUGAUUUCUAGGUCAUGGUUUUAUUUGGGGCUUCUUUGCUCUGAGAGGAAUGUAAGCGUUUUAAGACUCACUUGUUAGCUUUGCUUUCAUACAUGCACUUUUCAUAAUGUAAUUCAAUUAACAAUCAGCAUUCCUACUGAUACGGGAAGUACACUUGCUACAAUUAAUGUCUUGUACCUCUGAUUCAUUAUGAAAAUAUUUUUGGAUUCUUUUUAUUAGAUAAAUAUAAGGAUAUAUAAGCAUGACUUUCACUUAAAAUCACGAAUGUUAUUUUUGUCAAAUUGGUGGCCAGUAUUAAAGAUAUUCCAUUUGUCCACCGUUGUUUGUUGCCUGAGUCUAGGAAUGCUAAAUUGACUUUUAGUCUUUAGUAUUUGAGCUUCCAGUCUUUUUUUUUUUUUUUUUUUUGGUUAUUAUCAAAGCAAUUAGGUCACUUGAUCCACUGCUCAAUCAUCAGACUUAUCUUCCUCAAGUUAAUGGUACCUUGUUCACUUCGAAGUCAUUUCAGUUUUUAUUUAAAUCCCUUAAGCCAUGGGUAUGGCCAAACAAUAAAUUAAAAAGCCUUAAAACUACAUCCUUGAACCAUAGGAUUUUGAGUCUCUUAUAACUUAAAGGUGAUCAAACCCAACUUGUUUUUAAUGGGUUACAAAUUCCAGUGGAAAGGGGAAACCAGAGUAGUUCCAUCAUCCACAUAUUCAUUCUCUUACUCUUUGUAGUCAGUGCUUGCUUAAUGAUGGGUGGCUCUCCAGUAGGUAUUAUUCAAAACUUCGGUUGCUGGAAAUAUGCUCGUGUGAACACUGAGUUAGAGCAAGUUGGAACGCCAUGAAAUAAAAAUCACACAUCUACCAUUAGCAAGUUUAUAUUUCAAUGAAAAGAUUAAUCAGUCUUAGCCUUGACUGUUGAUCUUAAAAUCAAGGUCUUAUCAGUACCUGGAGAGCCUCCUGUACUGUUAUUGCAUCUCCCUCAAUGUAAGACUACCCGUGCACAGCCGUUCCUUGUAUGUUUGAUUCUUUGUAGGGCAGCCAUGCAGGGGGGGUGGGUGAUCAGGCAGGCCUGAUACAAAAUGCUGACAAUAUCAGGUGAACCAACACACAGUCUCUACCUUCAAGGGGCUUGCAGUCUGGUAUUGCAAAGUCAGAGUAUUACAGGGCAGAUGCCUUAAUGGCAGUGUGUGUGUUGUGUGCUAGUGAAUGCACAAAGAAAUGAGUGACAGCUCUACCUAGAAUGCCAGCCACCUCCUCGAGAGAGAUGCCAAGUACAGAGAUCUGAAAAUCCUAGAGGAGCUUUUAUACAAAAGUCCAAGGGGGACCCAAGGAAUUGAAGCCAGAACUGGAAAACACCACUGACCUCCAAAAUAUCUCUGCCACUUGCUAAAUUCAAACCCUGGAGUUUCAGCCUUCUAACGUCAGGUUUUAAUUCCUGUGAAAAAAUGUUCUUUUGAUGGCACUGUAUUUCACGUUGUCAUCAGUGAUUUAUAUCUUAGUGUGAAUGAGCUCCAGGUGUUUUUUCUGAGCAUGUUUUCCUAGAGUAAGGAAGAAACCUAAAGCCACAGUGCAGUGAGUCCUAGAGAAGGAUGGAUAAAGAGGCUCAGAAAGAUGGAUGGUAACACCAGAAGAACAGAUUGGAUGGUCUAGAAGUUCUGAAAAUAACCACCCACACACCCUUUCCUUAAGGAGGUCCCAUCCCUGAGGUCGUUUUCUCCUUCUGUUCAUCCUCCUCCCCGACUUCCUCCUAUCCCCCCAUCUUCCCCUCCUGACGCUUCCCUCAAACCUAGUGUUUCAUUCUUGCACUCAAAUAGAAUGGAGUAGUGAUUUCACACCAUUUAUAAAAGGAAAAAACUGCCUCAGCUUUACCUACCAAGAGCUUCCUUACUCAACACAAAUCUUAGUGCAUUUUCACAAGUGAAGGAAUGUUUGCACAUUCACCAGUGGGGAAGCCAGAGGAAGCAGGGAGAGUAUGGACCCCCGGGAAUGAGGAUCAGAGAUCCCCACCCAUAUAGUGACCAGCCUCCUUCAUCUCACUGUAUGGAAUUCUGUAUGAUCCCACUCUUGAUUGACGCUAAGAUCUCCUUCCAAACAAUCAUGACGUUGCUCCUGACUAUUUCACUCGCAUAGAGUAACACUGCGAAGGAAGUGGCUAUUCUCUUGAUUGACUGAAGAAAAGCCAUUUCAAAGACUGUCAGGGGUGUGAAUCAACAGGAGAACGUGGACACCCAGGGCUCUCCAUCCACGAGAGAGCUAGAAAUUUGUUCAAAAUGGAUUCGGGAUGAUUCUGCAGCAGGUGGAAUGUUCCUCUCAGUGACCCCAGCAUCGUUUUAAAUGUUUGAGACUAUGAAGUAUCAUCACCAAUUCAGAUGAAUAGAUUGUGAGCAAGGGCCUGUCCCAUCAGUGAGUAAGACCUAUACUGAGUGAGAUAAGGAGCUCCAUCUAAUCCUGUACUCGACUGAAGUUUCAAGAAAGUAACCUUCUUUAU
Molecule: long non-coding RNA, 4020 nt
Filed under: Sus scrofa (pig)
Lineage: Eukaryota; Metazoa; Chordata; Mammalia; Artiodactyla; Suidae
Description: lncRNA (ENSSSCG00000052082.1)
Source: RNAcentral